GAUGAACGCUAGCGGCAGGCUUAACACAUGCAAGUCGAGGGGUAUAGUAGCAAUACUAGAGACCGGCGCACGGGUGCGUAACGCGUAUGCAAUCUACCUUUUGCAGAGGGAUAGCCCAGAGAAAUUUGGAUUAAUACCUCAUAGUAUAGAACAAUCGCAUGAUUGAGCUAUUAAAGUCACAACGGCAAAAAGAUGAGCAUGCGUCCCAUUAGUUAGUUGGUAAGGUAACGGCUUACCAAGACUACGAUGGGUAGGGGUCCUGAGAGGGAGAUCCCCCCACACUGGUACUGAGACACGGACCAGACUCCUACGGGAGGCAGCAGUGGGGAAUUUUGGACAAUGGGCGCAAGCCUGAUCCAGCAAUGCCGCGUGCAGGAAGAAGGCCUUCGGGUUGUAAACUGCUUUUGUACGGAACGAAACGGCUCUGGUUAAUACCUGGGGCUAAUGACGGUACCGUAAGAAUAAGCACCGGCUAACUACGUG
RNAcentral lists this ribosomal RNA (483 nucleotides) under uncultured bacterium. RNAcentral describes it as "bacterial SSU rRNA". It matches the Rfam family "Bacterial small subunit ribosomal RNA", at positions 28 to 507 of the family's 1533-position model. The record is from RNAcentral.